CUAUGUCUCCAGGUUAGAGGUAGGUGCUUCAUCUGGGGUACCACAGUCAGUGACUCUUUUGCUCCCUCCCACAUCCUGGAUGCUGCGGUAAAUGGGACAGUCAUUGCUACUGUAGCCAAAUGGAACAAAACCCUAAAGUAUCGGGACCUGGCAGUGAACUAUAUUUUCCAGCCUGUGACGUUUGGAAUGACUGGGUCACUAACCACGAAGUUCUUGUCAUCAUUGGCAGCUCGCCUCACCGCAUGUAACCUUAACUUUGACUAAGGCCGCUGCAUAUAACCUUGAAAUCAAACAGUGACUGAAGACAGACUAUGCAGAACUAAAACAACAGCGGACACCUUCUACAAAGACAUGAUAAUUGGGAAGUCAAACCGCCAAUCCUUCGGUAUUAGUAGACGACGCCAUUCACGCUCUUGUUUAGCCUAACCUCUUUAUCUAUGUCAUAAGGGAAACUUGUGUGGGUGAUCGGCGUCGUCUACUAGUAACGAAGGAUUGCUGACAAAUCGAAUUGUGGAUAGAAGGUGCGUACACAAAAGGCUAUAAGAACCAUAUUUCCUCUAUAAGGCCUCUGAUAUACGAAUGGAACUAUAAUACACACACAUACAUACAUAUAUAUAUAUAUAUAUAUAUAUAUUUGUCUAGACACACACACUCACAACAAACUUAUGGUGCAUUACAAAGCGUCGUAAAAGGGUAAGAGAGAUGGCAGAAAGCAGUAUUGUCAGGUGAAGAAAUACAGCUAUAAUAACCAAAAAUCGAGAACACAGAACAAAUGCCGGACGAAAAACGAGAAGAGAUUUUAAAGCUACGUUAUUUUGCUAAGGUUAAUAAACUGAAAAAAAUGUGGAAAAAUUAAUAUUUAUAUAUACAAAGGAAAGAAUUGUUGGGUGAAACAGAUGAUAGCGUGAAGAUAUUUAAAUUUAUUAAAGCUCAACAACGGAAGUCACGUGGAAGUUUGUUGUUGUUCCCAUGCUUACCUGCAGAAGUAAUGAUGUGUCCAAGGGGAAAGGAUGGAUCCUCUGUUGCUGCUAACACCAACCAACAGCUCUUGGGACAAAUAUCUGGCAGAUCUUCGAAAUUAACCCACAAUGAUAUUCAGCACGGCUGCAGUUCAAUGACACCUGGCUACUCUGGUUAUGCACUGUUACCUGCUCUGCACCUUUUUGACGAAUGACUUCUAACACAAACUUUCUCAUAUACUUCAUCUUCAUUUUCUGAUUUGUCCACCACAUCACAUUUGCAGAAAUGUGUUCUCAGAAAGGAAUCCUUGCCUUGAUACUCAAGGAUUUAUUGAAGUCCUGUACUAGAAGCUGUCUUAAUUAUCAGGUGGAUUUGAAACUCAAGGCUGCAUCAGCAUAAGGCGUGAAAUUUCAGGGCAGAUAGGGUAGGUCGAUUACAUCGACUCCGGUGUGUAACUGGUACUUAUUUUAUCGACCCCGAAAGGAUGAAAAGCAAAGUCGACCCCUGUGGAAUUUGAACUCAGAACGCAAAACUUAUUAGGUGUCAGCAAGAAGACCAUGCUUGUUUACUCGGCAUUCACAGGAAUUCUUCUGUUUUCCAUGUUAUGUGUGAUAAUUGCAAUAUAUGAUCCUUGCAAUGGAAGAUCCGUUAGGGACAGUUUGUGUGAAUUGUAUGAAGAUGGAAUGGUAUCUGGUAGAUUGUGUUAUUCUUUGUGUAAAGAGAGGGUGCCGGUGUUGUCAAAUUGCUUAAAACAGCAGCCAAACCUCAAGGUAUGUUAACGUUCGCAUUCACAUUUACAAUGCAAU
Molecule: unclassified non-coding RNA, 1766 nt
Organism: Octopus bimaculoides (California two-spot octopus)
Lineage: Eukaryota; Metazoa; Mollusca; Cephalopoda; Octopoda; Octopodidae
Source: RefSeq, a predicted model, not a curated record